RNAcentral lists this ribosomal RNA (253 nucleotides) under uncultured bacterium. RNAcentral's name for it is "partial 16S ribosomal RNA". It matches the Rfam family "Bacterial small subunit ribosomal RNA", at positions 524 to 776 of the family's 1533-position model. The record is from RNAcentral.
UACGUAGGGUGCGAGCGUUGUCCGGAAUUAUUGGGCGUAAAGAGCUCGUAGGCGGCUUGUCGCGUCGGAUGUGAAAGCCCGGGGCUUAACUCCGGGUCUGCAUUCGAUACGGGCAGGCUAGAGUUCGGUAGGGGAGAUCGGAAUUUCUGGUGUAGCGGUGAAAUGCGCAGAUAUCAGGAGGAACACCGGUGGCGAAGGCGGAUCUCUGGGCCGAUACUGACGCUGAGGAGCGAAAGCGUGGGGAGCGAACAGG